UACAGAGGUCUCAAGCGUUGUUCGGAUUCAUUGGGCGUAAAGGGUGCGUAGGCGGCGCGGUAAGUCGGGUGUGAAAUCUCGGGGCUUAACUCCGAAACUGCAUUCGAUACUGCCGUGCUUGAGGACUGGAGAGGAGACUGAAAUUUACGGUGUAGCGGUGAAAUGCGUAGAUAUCGUAAGGAAGACCAGUGGCGAAGGCGGGUCUCUGGACAGUUCCUGACGCUGAGGCACGAAGGCCAGGGGAGCAAACGGG
Molecule: ribosomal RNA, 253 nt
Filed under: uncultured bacterium
Lineage: Bacteria
Description: partial 16S ribosomal RNA
Rfam family: Bacterial small subunit ribosomal RNA
Source: RNAcentral